Small nuclear RNA from Dipodomys ordii (Ord's kangaroo rat), 124 nucleotides. The record is from Ensembl. Lineage: Eukaryota; Metazoa; Chordata; Mammalia; Rodentia; Heteromyidae.
GUGUUGUACAGAAGAGAACAGCUUUCACUCCUUUUGGCAAGGAUGGACAAAACCCUUGGUGCUGAUAAUGUGUAUAUGCUUAAUGCGCUGCCAACCAUUUUGUGGUGUUUAAACAUUGCAUUCU